UACGUAGGGGGGCAAGCGUUGUCCGGAAUCAUUGGGCGUAAAGAGCGUGUAGGCGGUCCGGUCAGUCGGUUGUGAAAGUCAAGGGCUCAACCCUUGAAUGCCGGCCGAUACUGCCGGGCUAGAGUCCGGAAGAGGUGAGUGGAAUUCCCGGUGUAGCGGUGAAAUGCGCAGAUAUCGGGAAGAACACCGGUGGCGAAGGCGGCUCUCUGGACCUGUCCUGACGCUCAGGCGCGAAAGCUAGGGGAGCGAACAGG
This 254-nucleotide ribosomal RNA is filed under the name uncultured bacterium. RNAcentral's name for it is "partial 16S ribosomal RNA". It matches the Rfam family "Bacterial small subunit ribosomal RNA", at positions 524 to 776 of the family's 1533-position model. The record is from RNAcentral.